This 495-nucleotide ribosomal RNA is filed under the name uncultured bacterium. RNAcentral's name for it is "bacterial SSU rRNA". It matches the Rfam family "Bacterial small subunit ribosomal RNA", at positions 8 to 507 of the family's 1533-position model. The record is from RNAcentral.
AGAGUUUGAUCCUGGCUCAGGAUGAACGCUAGCGGCAGGCCUAAUACAUGCAAGUCGAACGCUCAGUAGCAAUACUGGGAGUGGCGCACGGGUGCGUAACGCGUACACAAUCUACCUCUAAGCGGGGGACACCUCCUGGAAACGGGGAUUAAUACCGCAUAAUAUGCCGAGGUCGCAUGACUUUGGUAUUAAAGCAGCAAUGCACUUAGAGAUGAGUGUGCGUCCCAUUAGGUAGUUGGUGAGGUAACGGCUCACCAAGCCUAUGAUGGGUAGCCGGUCUGAGAGGAUGGUCGGCCACACGGGCACUGAGACACGGGCCCGACUCCUACGGGAGGCAGCAGUAAGGAAUAUUGGUCAAUGGUGGAAACACUGAACCAGCCAUGCCGCGUGGAGGAAUAAGGUCCUACGGAUUGUAAACUCCUUUGACGAGGAAGAAAGUGUUAGAUUUAUCUAAUUUUGACGGUACUCGUAGAAUAAGCACCGGUUAACUCCGUG